GGAUUAGAUACCCUGGUAGUCCACGCCCUAAACGAUGUACGCUUGGUGUCGGGGUUUUCGGACCUCGGUGCCGGAGGUAACCCAUUAAGCGUACCACCUGGGGAGUACGAUCGCAAGGUUGAAACUCAAAGGAAUUGACGGGGGCCCGCACAAGCGGUGGAUUAUGUGGUUUAAUUCGAUGCAACGCGAAGAACCUUACCUGGGCUCGAAAUGUAGGAAGUAGGACCCUGAAAGGGGAACCACCUGUCAAGUCAGGAACCUAUAUAGGUGCUGCAUGGCUGUCGUCAGCUCGUGCCG
Molecule: ribosomal RNA, 297 nt
Filed under: uncultured bacterium
Lineage: Bacteria
Description: partial 16S ribosomal RNA
Rfam family: Bacterial small subunit ribosomal RNA
Source: RNAcentral